RNAcentral lists this ribosomal RNA (270 nucleotides) under uncultured prokaryote. RNAcentral's name for it is "partial 16S ribosomal RNA". It matches the Rfam family "Bacterial small subunit ribosomal RNA", at positions 524 to 792 of the family's 1533-position model. The record is from RNAcentral.
UACGGAGGAUCCGAGCGUUAUCCGGAUUUAUUGGGUUUAAAGGGUGCGCAGGCGGGAGAUUAAGUCGGCGGUGAAAUUUUGCAGCUCAACUGUAAAAGUGCCUUCGAAACUGGUUUCCUUGAGUGUGGAUGAAGUAGGCGGAAUUUGUGGUGUAGCGGUGAAAUGCAUAGAUAUCACGAGGAACUCCGAUUGCGCAGGCAGCUUACUAAACCAUAACUGACACUCAGGCACGAAGGCGUGGGGAGUCAAACAGGAUUAGAUACCCUGGUA